Molecule: unclassified non-coding RNA, 259 nt
Filed under: Melitaea cinxia (Glanville fritillary)
Lineage: Eukaryota; Metazoa; Arthropoda; Insecta; Lepidoptera; Nymphalidae
Description: misc RNA ENSMCXG00005013961.1
Source: RNAcentral
CUACGGAAGCAUUCUUCCUGAAAUGGGGUUCAGAUUCAGGCAGCCAAUCGUCACAGAAGUCCUGGGUGCAGCCUGUAUCACCGUACAGAUAUCAAUACAUGUACCCCUACGAGUCAAGAAAGAUCUAUCAAGUCCAACCUCAGCAGUAUUCUCAGCCUGAAAUACAAAUGCAACAUAACAUGGCACCGAUACCGAUAAGCGUGCCCGCUGGAGCGAGCCUCACUCCAGUUUCCCUUCAGCAUGUUCAACUUGUACCCUG